This 231-nucleotide ribosomal RNA is filed under the name uncultured bacterium. RNAcentral's name for it is "partial 16S ribosomal RNA". It matches the Rfam family "Bacterial small subunit ribosomal RNA", at positions 15 to 238 of the family's 1533-position model. The record is from RNAcentral.
GAUCCUGGCUCAGGACGAACGCUGGCGGCGUGCCUAAUACAUGCAAGUAGAACGCUGAAGGAGAAGCUUGCUUCUCUGGAUGAGUUGCGAACGGGUGAGUAACGCGUAGGUAACCUGCCUGGUAGCGGGGGAUAACUAUUGGAAACGAUAGCUAAUACCGCAUAAUAGUAGAUGUUGCGUGACAUUUGCUUAAAAGGUGCAAUUGCAUCACUACCAGAUGGACCUGCGUUG